This is a long non-coding RNA of Hirundo rustica (Barn swallow), 433 nucleotides long. RefSeq lists it as uncharacterized. The record is from RefSeq and is a predicted model, not a curated record. The transcript has 3 exons. Lineage: Eukaryota; Metazoa; Chordata; Aves; Passeriformes; Hirundinidae.
UCGUUGGAAAGUAUCUGAGAGAGGGGGCUGGAGACUGUGAGGUUCUACUUGGUAUUAAAUGCAUAUUUUUAUAACCAGCUACAUAUCAAAAUUAUCAUGACUUUUAAUAUACUCUGCAUUUAUGUUACCUCAUUGUUGUAAUAAAGGUCGGAUCCCUGCUGGAUGACAGCCUCGAUGCUCAAGUGCACAGCAAGAGAUUUGACUCCAGAGCUGGUAUCUGUUACAUUUUUUUCCUCAAAAGAAACAAGAUAAAGGUUUAAUUUCUGUUUUGAUGUGGAGCAAGAAAACAUGUGCAAGGAUGUUUCUGAGACUCUUCCAGUUAAUAGUUAUGUGACACUAUUUUUCCUCAUGAGAGUUUGUAUAACUCAGACUAAAGUAACUUGCAGUGAAUCUGUUCCUGUAAAACUGUUUAGUGUUUGGAGUUCAUCUUUUG